This 465-nucleotide ribosomal RNA is filed under the name Vreelandella stevensii. RNAcentral describes it as "partial 16S ribosomal RNA". It matches the Rfam family "Bacterial small subunit ribosomal RNA", at positions 338 to 795 of the family's 1533-position model. The record is from RNAcentral. Lineage: Bacteria; Pseudomonadati; Pseudomonadota; Gammaproteobacteria; Oceanospirillales; Halomonadaceae.
CCUACGGGUGGCAGCAGUGGGGAGUAUUGGACAAUGGGCGAAAGCCUGAUCCAGCCAUGCCGCGUAUGUGAAGAAGGCCUUCGGGUUGUAAAGCACUUUCAGUGGGGAAGAAAGCCUUGGGGCUAAUACCCUCGAGGAAGGACAUCACCCACAGAAGAAGCACCGGCUAACUCCGUGCCAGCAGCCGCGGUAAUACGGAGGGUGCGAGCGUUAAUCGGAAUUACUGGGCGUAAAGCGCGCGUAGGCGGUCUGAUAAGCCGGUUGUGAAAGCCCCGGGCUCAACCUGGGAACGGCAUCCGGAACUGUCAGGCUAGAGUGCAGGAGAGGAAGGUAGAAUUCCCGGUGUAGCGGUGAAAUGCGUAGAGAUCGGGAGGAAUACCAGUGGCGAAGGCGGCCUUCUGGACUGACACUGACGCUGAGGUGCGAAAGCGUGGGUAGCAAACAGGAUUAGAUACCCUGGUAGUC